This is a long non-coding RNA of Canis lupus familiaris (dog), 1004 nucleotides long. RefSeq lists it as uncharacterized. The record is from RefSeq and is a predicted model, not a curated record. The transcript has 4 exons. NCBI's taxonomy places the organism in Eukaryota, Metazoa, Chordata, Mammalia, Carnivora, Canidae.
UCAGAAAAAACAAAUUAUAUGGAGUGAUAAUAGGGUACAAAUUAGAUGGAUGAGAGGCGCUCCCUGAUUAUUUAUACCAAAAUUAACUUCAAGUGAGACUCAAGCACUUUCAGGUUCUGGCUGUUAUCCUAAAUGCCUUCACCGGGGGAUGUAAAAUGCUAUUACUUUUUCCCCCUCACUUUGCUUCUGAUUUCCUAAGUUGAAUUAUCUCUAAUUUAGCUCUGUAAGAGUUUGAUCAAAAAAGAUCCCAAAGAUCAAGGAGGAUAUGAAUCUAUGUUCCAAGAGAAAAAUCAAAUAUAGCAUUUCUCAAAUAUGUUAGUAUCAGGUUUCCUAAAUCUAUUCUUUCUUCAUUCUCCAAUCCUGCUUGCAUCUGGCCCUGGAUGAAGUAAAUGCCAAGAACAGGAAAAGAGAAUGGACUCCAGGAAAGAUUUCUAGGAGAAGAAGCAACCACCAUGGGUGGGUGACAGUGAAUGGUACAUGCUAAAGAUGAUGGCUCAAGAAAAGAGAAUGGCCCCAGAUCUUCACGGCAUUGUGGAAUUGCCAUACCAGGCCUUGACUUCUUACCUCUAGAAGUUGGAUCAGGAUGUACUUCAGCAGAGUAAACCAAGGAAGACCACGAGGGAUUCAGGAAAUGUUCAUCUAACCCAAAAAUGUGUUCUAGAGGCUGGAAAGUGCAAGAUCAAGGUCCCGGAUGACUUUGUUCCUGGCGCGAGCCCUCGUCCUGGUUUGCAGACAGCUGUCUUCUCACUGUGUCCUCACGUGGUGGAGAAAGAGAGUGACUGCUUUGGUCCUUCUUCUUUUAAGGACACCAGUCCCAUCACAGGACCCUCACCUUCAUGACCUCACCCAAACCUAGUUAUCUUCUCACAAUCCCGCUUCCAAGUGCCGUAGGGAAUUACAGCUUCAACCGAAGAAUUUUGAAGGGACACAACAUUCUGUAACAAUGUUAAAUAUUUAUUAUUUCCUAUUGUGAGAUAAUUUUUAAAAAUUUCACAUAUAUUAAU